AAUAGAUACCCAGGUAGUCCACGCCGUAAACGUUGGAUACUAGGUGUGGCGGUUAUACCAAUGACUGCCGUGCCGAAGCUAACGCAUUAAGUAUCCCGCCUGGGGAGUACGGCCGCAAGGCUAAAACUCAAAGGAAUUGACGGGUCCCCGCACAAGCGGCGGAGCAUGCGGCUUAAUUCGAUGCAACCCGAAGAACCUUACCUGGGUUUGACAUCACGGGAAAAGCUGUAGAAAUACAGUGUCCGUAAGGGCCCGUGACAGGUGGUGCAUGGCUGUCGUCAGCUCGUGUCGUGAGAUGUUGGGUUAAGUCCCGCAACGAGCGCAACCCUUGUCCUAUGUUGCCAGCAGUUCGGCUGGGGACUCGGUAGGAGACUGCCGGGGAUAACUCGGAGGAAGGUGAGGACGACGUCAAGUCAUCAUGCCCCUUAUAUCCAGGGCUGCACGCAUGCUACAAUGGCCGGUACAACGGGCAGCGACCCCGCGAGGGUGAGCGAAUCCUAUAAAGCCGGUCCCAGUUCGGAUUGAAGUCUGCAACUCGA
Molecule: ribosomal RNA, 539 nt
Filed under: uncultured bacterium
Lineage: Bacteria
Description: bacterial SSU rRNA
Rfam family: Bacterial small subunit ribosomal RNA
Source: RNAcentral